GAUGAACGCUGGCGGCGUGCCUAAUACAUGCAAGUCGAACGAACCGCGACUAAGUGCUUGCACUAAGUCAAGGUGAGUGGCGAACGGGUGAGUAACACGUGGGUAACCUACCUCAUAGUGGGGGAUAACAGUCGGAAACGACUGCUAAUACCGCAUAGGACAUAGGAUCACAUGAUCCAGUGAGGAAAGGUGGCGCAAGCUAUCGCUAAGAGAUGGACCCGCGGUGCAUUAGCUAGUUGGUAGGGUAAAGGCCUACCAAGGCGAUGAUGCAUAGCCGACCUGAGAGGGUGAUCGGCCACAUUGGGACUGAGACACAGCCCAAACUCCUACGGGAGGCAGCAGUAGGGAAUCUUCCGCAAUGGACGCAAGUCUGACGGAGCAACGCCGCGUGAGUGAAGAAGGUCUUCGGAUCGUAAAGCUCUGUUGUUAGAGAAGAACAGCGCAUAGAGUAACUGCUAUGCGUGUGACGGUAUCUAACCAGAAAGCCACGGCUAACUACGUG
RNAcentral lists this ribosomal RNA (502 nucleotides) under uncultured bacterium. RNAcentral describes it as "partial 16S ribosomal RNA". It matches the Rfam family "Bacterial small subunit ribosomal RNA", at positions 28 to 507 of the family's 1533-position model. The record is from RNAcentral.